GCAGAGCACUCCUACGGGAGGCAGCAGUGGGGAAUAUUGCACAAUGGGGGAAACCCUGAUGCAGCCAUGCCGCGUGUGUGAAGAAGGCCUUCGGGUUGUAAAGCACUUUCAGUAGGGAGGAAGGUAGUGUAGUUAACACCUGCAUUAUUUGACGUUACCUACAGAAGAAGCACCGGCUAACUCCGUGCCAGCAGCCGCGGUAAUACGGGAGGGUGCGAGCGUUAAUCGGAAUUACUGGGCGUAAAAGCGCAUGCAGGCGGCCUGUUAAGUCAGAUGUGAAAGCCCCGGGGCUUAAACCUCGGAAUUGCAUUUGAAACUGGCAGGCUAGAGUCUUGUAGAGGGGGUAGAAUUUCAGGUGUAGCGGUGAAAUGCGUAGAGAUCUGAAGGAAUACCAGUGGCGAAGGCGGCCCCCUGGACAAAGACUGACGCUCAGAUGCGAAAGCGUGGGGAGCAAACAGGAUUAGAUACCCUGGUAG
Molecule: ribosomal RNA, 476 nt
Filed under: uncultured bacterium
Lineage: Bacteria
Description: bacterial SSU rRNA
Rfam family: Bacterial small subunit ribosomal RNA
Source: RNAcentral